AUUCGAUGCAACGCGAAGAACCUUACCAGGGUUUGACAUGAUACGAAUUUCUUUGAAAGAAGAAAGUGCCGUUUGGAACGUAUACACAGGUGGUGCAUGGCUGUCGUCAGCUCGUGUCGUGAGGUGUUGGGUUAAGUCCCGCAACGAGCGCAACCCUUGUUUUUAGUUGCCUUUAUGGAACUCUAAAAAGACUGCUGGUUAUAAACCGGAGGAAGGUGGGGAUGACGUCAAGUCAGCAUGCCCCUUACACCCUGGGCUACACACGUGCUACAUUGGGCGAGACAAUGAGAUGCAAAUCUGCAAAGACUAGCUAAUCUAUAAACUCGUUCUAAGUUCGGAUUGUAGGCUGCAACUCGCCUACAUGAAGGUGGAAUCGCUAGUAAUCGCUGGUCAGCUAUACAGCGGUGAAUUCGUUCCCGGGCCUUGUACACACCGCCCGUCACACCAUGGAAGCUGGUUAUACCCGAAGUCAUUACUCUAACCGUUU
Molecule: ribosomal RNA, 487 nt
Filed under: uncultured diatom
Lineage: Eukaryota; Bacillariophyta
Description: bacterial SSU rRNA
Rfam family: Bacterial small subunit ribosomal RNA
Source: RNAcentral